CAUUUUUAAAUGACCACUGGGUGUCGCUGUAGCCUUAAAAUUCACAUAGAACCCAGAAUGAAGCAGUAUGUAUAUUUCUGUCUCCAAGACUAAACUAAAAGCUGCUGAUGACUGAAACAUUCGGCAGGUGGCGUGAUUUACCAGAUAAACCCACGUGAAGGAUAAAAGUCCCAAAAACCCUGGCUCUGCUCUGCCUGUACAUCUCUGAGUGUGUGGGUGAGCUGACCAUCACCUGACUGCCAAACUAACAACAGUCUCCAGUAUAACAGACACUGAGGAGUGCACAAUUACAGCAGCUGUGAUAAAUGUGGAUAAAAGCACUGAAGGGGCUUUUGAAGUAGACAAGGCGCCUGAUUGACACAGGCUAGGACAUCAUCCCAGGCUGCUCUGUUCGUGCAGAUGAUCAGACACGUAACUUUGUUGGACUGGAUGGAUUCUGGGCGAUCUGUAAACUAUUUGCCGACUGAAUUUCCACGGCAGGUCGAAACAAACCUCAGGUCACCAGGAAAUAAACUGCUGCUUCCUGUGGCCACUCCAGCUCUGCCUGGGACAGAAAUCUACUCCCCACCAGUGCCACUCCAUAACAACACUUUACUCUAAAUUUACAGUUUACAGUGAUCUUUAAACAACGGCACACACACCAGUUAUAUAAAUAUUUCCCAGGUCCAUCCCUAUUAAAUGUCUUACAUCCCAGCACAGUAGUCUUACACUAGCAGACAUAUUUAUUUAUAGCAAAGGUACAUGUAGAUUUAUCCUUGUUGACAAAUUAAAAAAAUUAACAUGAUAAAAAAUAAAAACAAAUAUAGAGGACCCUUAAAGAAAAGCUCUCUAUCUCCCCAAAUAAACAGCAGGAAGUAAGCUUGAAAAAGAUGAUUUUUCAGUGCAUGAGCUGAAACUUAGCCUCCUGGAUGCGAGGUAAAACAUCUUCACAGGCUUAAAAAAGUCCAGUUGCCUUUUUGUUCAAGUUCUUCAACAGGAAAGAAGCAAAAACAUUUAGAGCAUUCACAUUCGUCCUGUCAAUGACCCGUUCUGCCACAUCCCACUUCUCAGGUGAACACAGACACUCUCACAGUGAACUCAUUGUCCUGAUCAUGGAACCAGUUUUAGACUUUGUGUCGUCUCCAGUUUGUACACUAAAAGUUAAUGUCACGCCACCACACGGCUGUUAUGCCUAGU
Molecule: long non-coding RNA, 1176 nt
Organism: Oreochromis niloticus (Nile tilapia)
Lineage: Eukaryota; Metazoa; Chordata; Actinopteri; Cichliformes; Cichlidae
Exons: 3
Source: RefSeq, a predicted model, not a curated record